RNAcentral lists this ribosomal RNA (452 nucleotides) under uncultured Rhodoferax sp. Its description in RNAcentral is "bacterial SSU rRNA". It matches the Rfam family "Bacterial small subunit ribosomal RNA", at positions 926 to 1382 of the family's 1533-position model. Lineage: Bacteria; Pseudomonadati; Pseudomonadota; Betaproteobacteria; Burkholderiales; Comamonadaceae. The record is from RNAcentral.
CAAGCGGUGGAGCACGUGGUUUAAUUCGAAGCAACGCGAAGAACCUUACCAGGUCUUGACAUCCCGAUGCUAUUCUAGAGAUAGAAGUUACUUCGGUACAUCGGUGACAGGUGGUGCAUGGUUGUCGUCAGCCCGUGUCGUGAGAUGUUGGGUUAAGUCCCGCAACGAGCGCAACCCUUGUCAUUAGUUGCUACAUUCAGUUGGGCACUCUAAUGAGACUGCCGGUGACAAGCCGGAGGAAGGUGGGGAUGACGUCAAGUCCUCAUGGCCCUUAUAGGUGGGGCUACACACGUCAUACAAUGGCUGGUACAAAGGGUUGCCAACCCGCGAGGGGGAGCCAAUCCCAUAAAGCCAGUCGUAGUCCGGAUCGUAGUCUGCAACUCGACUACGUGAAGUCGGAAUCGCUAGUAAUCGUGGAUCAGAAUGUCACGGUGAAUACGUUCCCGGGUCUU